CCUACGGGAGGCAGCAGUGAGGAAUAUUGGUCAAUGGGCGCGAGCCUGAACCAGCCAAGUCGCGUGAGGGAAGACGGUCCUAUGGAUUGUAAACCUCUUUUGUCGGGGAGCAAAAGACGCCACGCGUGGCGUUCCGAGAGUACCCGAAGAAAAAGCAUCGGCUAACUCCGUGCCAGCAGCCGCGGUAAUACGGAGGAUGCGAGCGUUAUCCGGAUUUAUUGGGUUUAAAGGGUGCGCAGGCGGAAGAUCAAGUCAGAGGUAAAAUUGAGGGGCUCAACCUCUUCGAGCCGUUGAAACUGGUUGUCUUGAGUGAGGGAGAGGUAUGCGGAAUGCGUGGUGUAGCGGUGAAAUGCAUAGAUAUCACGCAGAACACCGAUUGCGAAGGCAGCAUACCGGCGCUCAACUGACGCUCAUGCACGAAAGUGUGGGUAUCGAACAGGAUUAGAUACCCUAGUAGUC
RNAcentral lists this ribosomal RNA (459 nucleotides) under uncultured bacterium. RNAcentral's name for it is "partial 16S ribosomal RNA". It matches the Rfam family "Bacterial small subunit ribosomal RNA", at positions 338 to 795 of the family's 1533-position model. The record is from RNAcentral.